This 460-nucleotide ribosomal RNA is filed under the name uncultured bacterium. RNAcentral's name for it is "partial 16S ribosomal RNA". It matches the Rfam family "Bacterial small subunit ribosomal RNA", at positions 338 to 795 of the family's 1533-position model. The record is from RNAcentral.
CCUACGGGAGGCAGCAGUGAGGAAUAUUGGUCAAUGGACGAGAGUCUGAACCAGCCAAGUAGCGUGAAGGAUGACUGCCCUAUGGGUUGUAAACUUCUUUUAUAUGGGAAUAAAAUGUUCCACGUGUGGGAUUUUGUAUGUCCCAUAUGAAUAAGGAUCGGCUAACUCCGUGCCAGCAGCCGCGGUAAUACGGAGGAUCCGAUCGUUAUCCGGAUUUAUUGGGUUUAAAGGGAGCGUAGGUGGAUUGUUAAGUCAGUUGUGAAAGUUUGCGGCUCAACCGUAAAAUUGCAGUUGAAACUGGCAGUCUUGAGUACAGUAGAGGUGGGCGGAAUGCGUGGUGUAGCGGUGAAAUGCUUAGAUAUCACGAAGAACUCCGAUUGCGAAGGCAGUUCACUGGACUGCAACUGACACUGAGGCUCGAAAGUGUGGGUAUCAAACAGGAUUAGAUACCCUAGUAGUC